RNAcentral lists this unclassified non-coding RNA (17 nucleotides) under Escherichia coli. RNAcentral's name for it is "A-site ASL^Phe from Escherichia coli (PDB 8FOM, chain XY)". The record is from RNAcentral. RNAcentral also lists the same sequence under 1 other name. Lineage: Bacteria; Pseudomonadati; Pseudomonadota; Gammaproteobacteria; Enterobacterales; Enterobacteriaceae.
GGGGAUUGAAAAUCCCC